UUCCGCGUAGUCCAACGGUUAGGAUAUGGGAUUUUCACUCCCAAGAUCGGGGUUCGAUUCCCCGCGUGGAAG
This 72-nucleotide transfer RNA is filed under the name Bigelowiella natans CCMP2755. RNAcentral describes it as "tRNA-Glu for anticodon UUC". It matches the Rfam family "tRNA". From Rfam's summary of the family: Transfer RNA (tRNA) molecules are approximately 80 nucleotides in length. The record is from RNAcentral. Lineage: Eukaryota; Cercozoa; Chlorarachniophyceae.